RNAcentral lists this microRNA (22 nucleotides) under Capitella teleta. RNAcentral describes it as "Cte-Mir-216-P2c_3p* (star (passenger))". Lineage: Eukaryota; Metazoa; Annelida; Polychaeta; Capitellidae. The record is from RNAcentral.
CGGAUUAACAGCUGGGAUCGGA